AGGGUUCGAUUAUGGCUCAGGAUGAACGCUGGCGGCGUGCUUAACACAUGCAAGUCGAACGAACCUUCGGGUUAGUGGCGGACGGGUGAGUAACGCGUGAGAAUCUGCCCUCAGGAGGGGGAUAACGGUUGGAAACGACCGCUAAUACCCCAUAUGCCUACUGGUGAAAUGAAUUUCGCCUGAGGAUGAGCUCGCGUCUGAUUAGCUAGUUGGUGAGGUAAUGGCUCACCAAGGCUUCGAUCAGUAGCUGGUCUGAGAGGAUGAUCAGCCACACUGGGACUGAGACACGGCCCAGACUCCUACGGGAGGCAGCAGUGGGGAAUUUUCCGCAAUGGGCGAAAGCCUGACGGAGCAACGCCGCGUGAGGGACGAAGGCCUCUGGGCUGUAAACCUCUUUUCUCAAGGAAGAAGAUAUGACGGUACUUGAGGAAUAAGCCACGGCUAAUUCCGUGCCAGCAGCCGCGGUAAUAC
RNAcentral lists this ribosomal RNA (471 nucleotides) under uncultured bacterium. RNAcentral's name for it is "bacterial SSU rRNA". It matches the Rfam family "Bacterial small subunit ribosomal RNA", at positions 8 to 526 of the family's 1533-position model. The record is from RNAcentral.